Molecule: transfer RNA, 71 nt
Filed under: Ectemnonotum fruhstorferi
Lineage: Eukaryota; Metazoa; Arthropoda; Insecta; Hemiptera; Cercopidae
Description: tRNA-Met
Source: RNAcentral
AAAAAGAUAAGCUAAUGUCAAGCUAAUAGGUUCAUACCCUAUUUAUAGAAGUCUUAAUCUUCUUCUUUUUA